Artibeus jamaicensis (Jamaican fruit-eating bat) is the source of this 164-nucleotide small nuclear RNA. RefSeq annotates it as U1 spliceosomal RNA. NCBI's taxonomy places the organism in Eukaryota, Metazoa, Chordata, Mammalia, Chiroptera, Phyllostomidae. The transcript has a single exon. The record is from RefSeq and is a predicted model, not a curated record.
GUACUUUCCUGGCAGGGGAGAUACCAUGAUCACAAAGGUGGUUUUCCCAGGGUGAGGCUUAUCCACUGAACCCCAGAUAUCCUGACCCCUGUGAUUUCCACAAAUGUGGGAAACUCAACUGCAUAAUUUGUGGUGAUAGCGGACUGUGUUUGCACUGUCCCCUG